CCUACGGGAGGCAGCAGUGGGGAAUAUUGGACAAUGGGCGGAAGCCUGAUCCAGCAACGCCGCGUGAGGGAUGAAGGCCUUCGGGUUGUAAACCUCUUUCAGUACCGACGAAGCGAAAGUGACGGUAGGUACAGAAGAAGCACCGGCCAACUACGUGCCAGCAGCCGCGGUAAUACGUAGGGUGCGAGCGUUGUCCGGAAUUAUUGGGCGUAAAGGGCUCGUAGGCGGUUUGUCGCGUCGGGAGUGAAAACACCGGGCUUAACUCGGUGCUUGCUUUCGAUACGGGCAGACUAGAGGUAUUCAGGGGAGAACGGAAUUCCUGGUGUAGCGGUGAAAUGCGCAGAUAUCAGGAGGAACACCGGUGGCGAAGGCGGUUCUCUGGGAAUAUCCUGACGCUGGGGAGCGAAAGUGUGGGGAGCGAACAGGAUUAGAUACCCUGGUAGUCCACACCGUAAACGCUGGGCGCUAGGUGUGGGGCCUAUUCCAUGGGUUCCGUGCCGCAGCUAACGCAUUAAGCGCCCCGCCUGGGGAGUACGGCCGCAAGGCUAAAACUCAAAGGAAUUGACGGGGGCCCGCACAAGCGGCGGAGCAUGCGGAUUAAUUCGAUGCAACGCGAAGAACCUUACCUGGGUUUGACAUACACCGGAAAGCUGCAGAGGUGUAGCCCCUUUUAGUCGGUGUACAGGUGGUGCAUGGCUGUCGUCAGCUCGUGUCGUGAGAUGUUGGGUUAAGUCCCGCAACGAGCGCAACCCUCGUCCUGUGUUGCCAGCACGUCACGGUGGGGACUCACAGGAGACUGCCGGGGUCAACUCGGAGGAAGGUGGGGAUGAGGUCAAGUCAUCAUGCCCCUUAUGUCCAGGCUGCACACAUGCUUCAUGGCCGGUACAAAGGGCAGCUAAGCCGCAAGUGGAGCGAAUCCCAAAAGCCGUCUCAGUUCGGAUCGGGUCUGCACUCGACCCGUGAAGUCGGAGUCCUAGUAAUCGCAGAUCAGCACGCCCCGUGAAUACGUUUCCGG
Molecule: ribosomal RNA, 1015 nt
Filed under: uncultured bacterium
Lineage: Bacteria
Description: bacterial SSU rRNA
Rfam family: Bacterial small subunit ribosomal RNA
Source: RNAcentral